This 76-nucleotide transfer RNA is filed under the name Pseudomonadota bacterium. RNAcentral's name for it is "tRNA-Thr". It matches the Rfam family "tRNA". Rfam says of the family: Transfer RNA (tRNA) molecules are approximately 80 nucleotides in length. Their secondary structure includes four short double-helical elements and three loops (D, anti-codon, and T loops). Further hydrogen bonds mediate the characteristic L-shaped molecular structure. tRNAs have two regions of fundamental functional importance: the anti-codon, which is responsible for specific mRNA codon recognition, and the 3' end, to which the tRNAs corresponding amino acid is attached (by aminoacyl-tRNA synthetases). tRNAs cope with the degeneracy of the genetic code in two manners: having more than one tRNA (with a specific anti-codon) for a particular amino acid; and 'wobble' base-pairing, i.e. permitting non-standard base-pairing at the 3rd anti-codon position. Lineage: Bacteria; Pseudomonadati; Pseudomonadota. The record is from RNAcentral. RNAcentral also lists the same sequence under 1 other name.
GCUGUAGUAGCUCAGUUGGUAGAGCAGUUGAUUUGUAAUCUUCAGGUCCGCGGUUCGAGUCCGUGCUACAGCACCA